GCGGCGUGCUUCAUACAUGCAAGUCGAACGAGAAGCAGGAGCUUGCUCCUGUGGAAAGUGGCGGACGGGUGAGUAACACGUAGGAAAUCUGCCUUUGGGUGGGGGACAACAGUUGGAAACGACUGCUAAUACCCCAUAUGAGCUUGGUUGCAAUACCAAUCUUGAAAACUCCGGUGCCUAAAGAUGAGCCUGCGUCUGAUUAGCUUGUUGGCGGGGUAAUGGCCCACCAAGGCGACGAUCAGUAGCUGGUUUGAGAGGAUGAUCAGCCACAAUGGGACUGAGACACGGCCCCUACUCCUACGGGAGGCAGCAGUAGGGAAUUUUGCGCAAUGGGGGAAACCCUGACGCAGCAACGCCGCGUGAAUGACGAAGCCCUUCGGAGUGUAAAGUUCUGUCAGUAGGGAAGAAUUUUGACUGUACCUACAAAGGAAGCACCGGCUAACUCCGUGCCAGCCGCCGCCGUAA
Molecule: ribosomal RNA, 465 nt
Filed under: uncultured bacterium
Lineage: Bacteria
Description: partial 16S ribosomal RNA
Rfam family: Bacterial small subunit ribosomal RNA
Source: RNAcentral